RNAcentral lists this small nuclear RNA (107 nucleotides) under Suricata suricatta (meerkat). The record is from RNAcentral. Lineage: Eukaryota; Metazoa; Chordata; Mammalia; Carnivora; Herpestidae.
GUGCUCACUUCAGCAGCACAUAUACUAAAAUUGGAAUGAUACAGAGAAGAUUAGCACGGCCCCUGUGCAAGGAUGACCCGCAAAUUCGUGAUUUCGUUUUUGUGGUU